GAUGAACGCUGGCGGCGUGCCUAAUACAUGCAAGUCGAGCGAACGGACGCGAAGCUUGCUUCUCUGAUGUUAGCGGCGGACGGGUGAGUAACACGUGGAUAACCUACCUAUCAGACUGGGAUAACUUCGGGAAACCGUAGCUAAUACCGGAUAAUAUUUUGAACCGCAUGGUUCAAAAGUGAAAGACGGCCUUGCUGUCACUUAUAGAUGGAUCCGCGCUGCAUUAGCUAGUUGGUAAGGUAACGGCUUACCAAGGCAACGAUGCAUAGCCGACCUGAGAGGGGGAUCGGCCACACUGGAACUGAGACGCGGUCCAGACGCCUACGGGAGGCAGCAGUAGGGAAUCUUCCGCAAUAGGCGAAAGCCUGACGGAGCAACGCCGCGUGAGUGAUGAAGGUCUUCGGAUCGUAAAACUCUGUUAUUAGGGAAGAACAUAUGUGUAAGUAACUGUGCACAUCUUGACGGUACCUAAUCAGAAAGCCACGGCUAACUACGUG
Molecule: ribosomal RNA, 497 nt
Filed under: uncultured bacterium
Lineage: Bacteria
Description: partial 16S ribosomal RNA
Rfam family: Bacterial small subunit ribosomal RNA
Source: RNAcentral